This 333-nucleotide ribosomal RNA is filed under the name uncultured bacterium. RNAcentral's name for it is "bacterial SSU rRNA". It matches the Rfam family "Bacterial small subunit ribosomal RNA", at positions 568 to 899 of the family's 1533-position model. The record is from RNAcentral.
CGUGUAGGCGGUUUGUUAAGUCUGAUGUGAAAGCCCCGGGCUCAACCUGGGAAGUGCAUUGGAUACUGGCAGACUUGAAUACGGGAGAGGGUAGUGGAAUUCCUGGUGUAGGAGUGAAAUCCGUAGAUAUCAGGAGGAACACCGGUGGCGAAGGCGGCUACCUGGACCGAUAUUGACGCUGAGACGCGAAAGCGUGGGGAGCAAACAGGAUUAGAUACCCUGGUAGUCCACGCCGUAAACGAUGAGUACUAGGUGUUGCGGGUAUUGACCCCUGCAGUGCCGCAGCUAACGCAUUAAGUACUCCGCCUGGGAAGUACGGUCGCAAGACUAAAA